UGUCUGAUUAAUUCACUUGUUUGUAAAUUUUCAGGACUAUGUAUUAAUGAGAAAGAGGAGUCAUAACGAAUAAAGUUGUGUUCUUUCUUAUUCAAUAUUUUUUUGGGGUUGUGUAACGACCCAGCCCACUAACAACAAUAACUCGUUGGGCCCAACAACCGGCCCAAAAUGCUUAAGCCCAGUUAUUAUUACCAGUGUCUAAGUCUCAUAUAAACCCAAUGACAACCCCAUUCCCAUCCGAUGUGGGACUAUUGGGGUGUCACACGACUCCCCCGUUAAGGCCUGACGUCCUCUGUCAGUCCUCACAUACACAGCCCAAGAUCACCAGGCUAUGUGAGACUGCGUCUCGCUAGCCCGUCAUCCAGAUCCUGACUCAGCAGAGACUCGC
RNAcentral lists this long non-coding RNA (388 nucleotides) under Ananas comosus (pineapple). Its description in RNAcentral is "long non-coding RNA (ACOM_LNC007067)". Lineage: Eukaryota; Viridiplantae; Streptophyta; Magnoliopsida; Poales; Bromeliaceae. The record is from RNAcentral.